This 1324-nucleotide long non-coding RNA is filed under the name Acanthaster planci (crown-of-thorns starfish). RNAcentral describes it as "uncharacterized LOC110991231, transcript variant X2". Lineage: Eukaryota; Metazoa; Echinodermata; Asteroidea; Valvatida; Acanthasteridae. The record is from RNAcentral.
AGGGGUCUUGUUUUUGUUUCCCGGUUGUUGUGUGAGCGCUCAGUUUUGGGUGGAGGGAAAAGAAGUCGGAAGUCCAAAUCCCAGAUUAUUUUUCUAUACACAUUGGCACUGACCCUGGGGUGACCUCUCUUUGCUAGUAGGGUUUAGUGGAAAGUAAGCUCACUUAUUAUUGGUGACACUUGAUCUCAUUCAAACUAUUCAACCAACAGAUGAUGAAACCUCACCAGGAAAAGAGCGCAAUCCUGCUGCUUUUGCCCUUGAUCCAUUAGCAACAAUAAAUUCAAGCCAGGGCAAUGUGAAGAAUUAUUGUUCCAGUCCAAAUAGCCAAGCAAUAAAAACCAGAGAAAAAUGAACUGGUUUAAUUGAUUAUCAGUGCCAAUAAAAACCAGGACAAUAUUUUCAUCUGUCACUUAGGGUAUGUGAGAUUUGGGGCUGGAGCCACUAACAGGUGUCUAAUGGCACAUCUGAGCUGACCAGCCCUGAUGAACUUGUCUCUACAUUCCAUCAGGUAGCAGAACUCCAUAUCACCACGGUAACAACUCCAGGGAGGGUAAACCAAAAGUAGGUCACCUGUUGCAGCGUAAACUUCCUCUGUGUGCACAAACUUGCCUUGUCUGAGAGUGAGACAGGAAUUUGAGGGAAGAGGUUGAAAAGGGAGCAGACAGGGUGAUCCUCUGAAUUAUGGGGCCACCUCAGAGGGAACCUGAGAAGUUUUGGCACUGGUGGCAGGGCAGUGCAAACAGAAGUACUUGCAAGGGGUGCUGGAACUUGGAAGGACCAAGAGAGCAUUAGUGGUUGGAGAGGUCAGCUGACAGGAGACAUCACUUUCUACUUCUCCAGCACAGCCACUGAAGAGGCUGCUCUAAAUUCUCAAAGGGAAAGACUUGGAAGCUGGCACCAACAGACACACAAAGACCCCCAGUCUGGAGGAAAAGGGUGGAUUUACUGGGAACUUAGUAUGGAGACAGGAGACAGACUGAUGGCAGCUGGGGUGACCAUCAUCAUGCUGCAUGUUCUAUAGGCAUUCUGCUCACCCAUGAAAGUUGAAUUGACUGGCUUCAAUGCAGCAAAGCUGGAGAGUCUGUCACAUGGGAUCUACGUACAUCAUGCAUGCCUACAUCAAUGAAACCAACUGUCAAGGAUAUUCCAAACAGUUCCACCAAGACAACAAACCAAAGCUUUCAUGUAAUCUUUGUAUUUCACCAACUAGCCACAGAUUGUUGCCAGUGUUUUAUGAUCAAACUUAAGAUAUUAAUUUAAUUCCUAUUUGUCAUAUUGUCCUAUUUCCUCCACUUUCGAAAACAAAAAUCCUAAAAUACUGAAG